ACAUAUGCCUAUUGCAGCUGUAACGUUCAACACCAUCAUUAUGAUUAUUAAUGCACAAUUGACCAAAUCAAAUCUCAUUGAUUUGGAUUGAUAUUGCAUGCUUCUUUGUUAAUUAGCUUGCGGUCCAUUACGCCCCCUCAAGAUAAAGGUACCAUUGAUUACCUUUAUCUUGGAUGUAAGCUCUGUGAACUUGGUUGUGGCUAAAGGUUUAGUUAGCAAGUCUGCAAGUUGGUCUUUGGUGGACACAUGAGUGACUAUGAGCUUAUUGGAUUGAACUUGUUCUCUGACGAAGUGAUAAUCCAAUGAUAUGUGCUUCAUUCUUGAGUGAAGUAUUGGAUUUGAGCAAAGAUAUGUUGCACCUACAUUGUCACACAAUAAGCGUGGAGGGUC
Molecule: long non-coding RNA, 390 nt
Filed under: Medicago truncatula (barrel medic)
Lineage: Eukaryota; Viridiplantae; Streptophyta; Magnoliopsida; Fabales; Fabaceae
Description: long non-coding RNA (MTRU_LNC008618)
Source: RNAcentral